This is a long non-coding RNA of Mirounga angustirostris (Northern elephant seal), 838 nucleotides long. RefSeq lists it as uncharacterized. The record is from RefSeq and is a predicted model, not a curated record. Lineage: Eukaryota; Metazoa; Chordata; Mammalia; Carnivora; Phocidae. The transcript is spliced from 2 exons.
CACACACAAAACAGCCUGUCAUGGCUGGCUUUGCCGAGAAGGAAGACAGGCCCUUGAGUGUUUUCCAGUAACCCGCUCUCUAUGCUGGUUCUCACACGAGAAAGAAACUCAGAGUCACAAAAGUUGCCAUUGGAAACUCUGUCUGGCUGUGUGGUAAUAUCACCCACUUCCCAAGGUCCAGAAACCGAAGCCCCUCUACAGAGAAGUGGAGCCUUUCUUUCUUUACAAGUACAUGGUGUGCUUUGCCCCAGAUUCUUAGUGAGAAGCUCUUGCAAACAGCAAUAGGACUGUGAGCAUAAAAAUGAGGUAUGGAAAUAUGACAUCAAGAUAAGCCUGAUCUAAUAUAAUGAGAAGUUCUGCAAUGACCAGAAAUUCACCUUCACGUUCAUGCCAAUCCUUCCACUCGAGAUUAUCCAUUUACUGUGGUUACCGCCAUACAGAGAGGAGCUGGAGUGGUUCUGUCCUUUCUGUGUAAAUGGGAUGACUAUCAAUACAGCAAAGGCUUUCAGGAGGGAGAAGGUCUCUGAUCCUCUGAAAUUUGUGCAAAUGUGUCUCUGUCAUUUGGCAUGUGAAUUUUUCUGGGAAAAUACAUCUGUAACUUUCCUCAGAUUAUCAGAAUGGUCCAUGACCCCAAAUGCAUUAAGAACCAAUGAACUUAAAGAGGGCACGUAUUGAAUGGAGCACUGGGUGUUAUAUGCAAACAAUGAAUCAUGGAACACUACAUCAAAAACUAAUGAUGUAAUGUAUGGUGAUUAAUAUAACAUAAUAAAAUAAAAUUUUAAAAAAAGGUAUAAGGUUAAAAAAAAAGAACCAAUGAACUCAAGUGUCACCAGGUAAA